Molecule: long non-coding RNA, 371 nt
Filed under: Mytilus galloprovincialis (Mediterranean mussel)
Lineage: Eukaryota; Metazoa; Mollusca; Bivalvia; Mytilida; Mytilidae
Source: RNAcentral
AAAAAAGCGAUUGUAUCCAAUUAAAAAAAGGGGGCGAUUCUAUAGAAUAAUUAUAAUAUUUAUUUGAAAAUUUGUACACUUCACUAGUCGAGGUGGUUAGAACUGCACAAAAGUAGGCAACAUUAAGAUAUGAUUGUUUGCUCACACCAUUUUCCAAUUUUUUUAUUGGAUAAGUAAGUUUUCUUUGUUCACAGUUCCAGAACUUGUGAUAUCAAAAUGAAUUCGACACAAAUUUCUAUUAAUUUUUCAUAUUUUUAGAUUAUUAUUUGAAGCGUUUAAAUACAAAUAACAUAUUUUAUUAGUGUUUCUAUUUGCGGUCUCUUGUGGACAGUUGUCUCAUUGGCAAUCAUACCUCAUCUUCUUUUUUUUUU